ACUCCUACGGGAGGCAGCAGUGAGGAAUAUUGGUCAAUGGACGAAAGUCUGAACCAGCCAUGCCGCGUGCAGGAUGACUGCCCUCUGGGUUGUAAACUGCUUUUAUACGAGGGUAAUUUGAGUUACGUGUAACUUAUUGAAAGUAUCGUAUGAAUAAGGAUCGGCUAACUCCGUGCCAGCAGCCGCGGUAAUACGGAGGAUUCGAGCGUUAUCCGGAUUUAUUGGGUUUAAAGGGUGCGUAGGCGGUUUAGUAAGUUAGUGGUGAAAAGCAGUUGCUUAACAAUUGUCGUGCCAUUAAUACUGUUAGACUAGAAUUUAGUUGAAGUGGGCGGAAUAUGUAGUGUAGCGGUGAAAUGCUUAGAUAUUACAUAGAACGCCAAUUGCGAAGGCAGCUCACUAAGCUAUAAUUGACGCUGAUGCACGAAAGCGUGGGGAUCAAACAGGAUUAGAUACCCUGGUAGUCCACGCCGUAACGAUGAUAACUCGCUAUUGGCGAUACACAGUCAGUGGCUUAGCGAAAGCGUUAAGUUAUCCACCUGGGGAGUACGACCGCAAGGUUGAAACUCAAAGGAAUUGA
RNAcentral lists this ribosomal RNA (577 nucleotides) under uncultured Bacteroidota bacterium. RNAcentral's name for it is "bacterial SSU rRNA". It matches the Rfam family "Bacterial small subunit ribosomal RNA", at positions 335 to 913 of the family's 1533-position model. Lineage: Bacteria; Pseudomonadati; Bacteroidota. The record is from RNAcentral.